Long non-coding RNA from Equus caballus (horse), 4149 nucleotides. RefSeq lists it as uncharacterized. The record is from RefSeq and is a predicted model, not a curated record. NCBI's taxonomy places the organism in Eukaryota, Metazoa, Chordata, Mammalia, Perissodactyla, Equidae.
GCUCCUGGCCACACACUUCCAGAUGGACGGUCCCAAAGAGAAUCGUUUGUUUCCUCUCGUCUCCCUCCACCAUGCACUUUACGACUGCAGAGGGUCAGGCUCACCAUGUGUUUCCCUCUCAUCUCACCCGGCAUGUAUUCUCAAGGUCACCACAAGGCCCAACAUAGCUGCUGAAGCUCCAGCCAUCCUAUCUGCAUUCCAGCCCCUGCGGAGCCGAGUCUGUGAGCUGCGCUACGGUGAGGACGGCCUCGUCCUUUCCUGCCCUCCUUUCCGGAUCACCAGCGAGUCUCCCAAGGAGCGUGUGCUCCCUGAGUCCGCUCUGACUGAUGGGCGUUGUCACCGGCCUCCGGAGAGAGUCUGUCUGAAUGUUUCUGGAGGCAUUUCUCACAAAUUCCCCUUGUGUUUAUUAAUCUCACACCUUGGGGGGGCAGUCAGUGCCUCCCAUGGCUGGUGUUGAUGGAGCACCUGUGAUGGGCCAGGUGCUGGGCCAAAGGCUUUUCAAACCCUCACACCUGUGCGGUGAGGGAGGCAUUAUUAUCAGUCCCAUUCUACGGAUGGAGAAACUGAGGUUCAGAGAGGCAAAGAGAAUUGCUCUGGGUCUCAUAGCUGGCAAGGGGUGGCGUCAGGAUUUGAUCCCAUGGGCUGCCUGGAUCCCGAGCUGUCCAUUCUUCAUAAACUCUGUGGCUCCAUCAGGAUUAUCUGUAAUGAGAGGCUCAGAGGGCCCAGGCUCAGGGCCACACAGCUCGUGUCAGAAGGGUCCAGGCCGCAGGUCAACAGCAGUGGGAGAAUAUGCAGAGUCCUAGAAGGGCAGGUGUGGAGGGAACAAAUCACUCAGCCCUCCCAAGUCCUUCAAGUCCAUCUUGUGAUGGAUGGGAACCAAGACCUGGAGGCGGAAGUGACUAAUUUCUCUUCUUUACAAUACGUACGUUAAUCUAGGCUUUCUGACCCUUGAUGCUAUUGUCAUUUUAGGCAGAUAACUCUUUGUUGUAGGGCUGUCCUGUGCACUGUAGGGUAUUCAGCAGCAUCCCUGGCCUCUACCCACUGGAUGCCAGUAGCACCCCCACCCCAGUUCUAACAAGCAACAGUGUCUUCAGACAUUGCCCAGUGUCUCCUGGGUUGGGGGUGGGGAAGGGUACUGAGCCGCCCCAGUUGAAAUCCUUUCGUUAAUCUGAUCAGAGCAUUUACUUGCUUCAAAUUCUCCAUGUUUCCCCUAGUUUUUCCAGAUAAAACCCAAACUCCUUUGCUGGGUCUAUCAAGAUUUCGGUGGGAUGGCCCUGCUAACACUUGGGCUCUGCAGUCCCCUCCCUGAGCACAGUAACAAGUCACAGCUGACGGGUCCUGGGCACUUCCUAUGCACCGCGAAACUUCUUAGUCAAGGCUCCUCAGAGAGUUGCCAUCCUUAUGUCACAGUUUACAAGCUGGAGGUCUCUAGAGUCUAAGAAAGGUGUCUAGAGCCAGCCGGUUAGUGCCUGGCAGAACCUCAACUUAAAUCCCAGCGUUCUGACCUUGACCCAGGAAAUGUCUGCUUCACGCUUCGGGUUCUGGCCGGUGCGCAAUACCAACAACCCACUUCUCAGAUGCGCCCUGCUCACUCCCCUUCCGGGCUGUGCUUCUCUUAGCGCUCCCCCCCCCCCCCCCCCCUGAAUCCUAGUGCUCGCACAGAUCUGGGCCCAGCUGGUGUUUGAUAACUCAGGAGAGCGUCAGGCCAGGCCGUUCCUCUGCCAGAACUGCCUUCAUCAGGGAUCAUUUGCUUGGCAAAAACAAACGCACUGGAGCUAACGUAAAUAAAGGGAAAGCCACUGCGAGGAGUGAGGGUAUCUGGUGGGCCUCGAGGGCAAGAACUUGUUCAGGUCCCCUCUCACUUAAAACUAGAAAUUCUUCACAAGACCUUGGUCCCGGGAAUUGGAAAGCUGGCAGGAAUCAGACUCACUCUUUAUCCUCUUUGUCUUUGGGUCCUAGGGGAAGGCUUUUCUCUUUCUCUGCUGCAUUCUCCUGCGGUUUGCUGCAGACAAGCUCUCCAGGUCUCUCUAUAUCAGAACAUGGGGCCCCCAAAUGGCUGCCCAGGAUGGCUGGCCUAGUCCACUCGGGCUGCUCUAACAAAGUACUGCAGACUGGGGAGCUUCUCAACAACACAAGUAUAUUGCUCACAGUUCUGGAGGCUGGAAGUCCAAGGUCAGGGUGCCAGCAAGGUGAGUUCUGAUAAAGACUCUCUUCCGGGUAGCAGGAUGCCAGCUUCUCGCUGCAUCCCCACAUGGCAGAAACAGCAAGCAUCUCUCUGGGGCCUCCCUUAUAAAAGCACUAAUCCCACUCAGGAGGGCUCCACCUCGCAACCUAAUCACUUCCCAGAGACCCCACCUUCUCCUGAUACCAUCACCUCAGGGGUUGGGUUUCAGCACAUGAAUCUGGGGGGAAACAAACAUUCAGACCACAGCCGUGGCUGCUCCAACAUGGGCGAUCCCACCUCAAGUCCACGCUCCUUGAAAGUUUAGUCCAUGUAGCUGCUUGAUUCAAGUCCAAGCUCUAACACCAGGUAACCAGGAGGGAACUCCGAUUGGCCCUGCUUGGGUCAGGAGGUCAAUAAGCUAUAGAUGGGGGGCAGGAGUCAAGGACCAUGGACCCCUCAGUAGGGGCUCUGGGAACAAGCUCUCUCAGAAGAGGAAGUAGGCUGGGAGGAGGGAAGAAAUGACUGACAGGGGAAUCAGAAAGCAAGCAACAUUCAUGGUAGAGGAAGUGAUCAGGUAGAAGGAAGACCUGCCGUCUCUCAGAUUGUCCUGGGGGUCCCUUGGGUUGAGGACACAUCUCCUCACCUCUGCAAGGAAUGGUGGAGCUCAAAGGCCUGUGCCAAGCCUGAGGGAGGCCCACCCAAUGAAGCCACCACAUAGUCCCUUCACAGACUUUGCCCCCACAACUCCACACACUUUGAGGCACUUAAAUGGGUCUGUUGCUCAAUGCUUAAGUGUCUACAAGUCUCAGAGAACAGGUGGAGAUGCAGACAAAGUACAAAAGGGCUCCUGCGUGCUAGCCUGGAAUGGGCUCCAACAGCCGUCGGCUGAGUCCUCCAGAAUUAUUUCCUCAGCCCAUGCUCUGCUUCCGGCCCCUGGUUUCCAACUAACAGCAGCAGCUAGUGGGGUAGGGUGGGGGCGGGGAGACCUGACAGAUAGUUGAGGCCAAACCAGAGCAGAACACUGUCACUGAAAUGUGGUUCUUCCUCUUCUCCUGGAGGAGACAGGAUGGGAAAGGAGGGUCUGAUGGCUCUGUACGCCCCAGGUUAUGGCUCUGGUGUGCUGCCUAUAUGGUACAACCAGGGCUUAUAUCCUCCCCUUAGAGGAGGGCGCCCCCAUUCCAACCACCAUCUCAGAUGGCCUGGAGAGCUGGCUGGAGGCACGCAGUAUCUUCUAUCUUCUUCAAAUACUUCAACCCAAACAACACAUCCCAAUAGGUGUAAUGCAGAACAGAUAAGAGAAUCUAGCUAUUUUCGAUUAAGACAGGCAUUGAAAAGAUUUGCAAAAGUAUAAAACAAUAUAUCUAUUUUUUGCCUUAGAAAUAUAGUUAGUUUUCAUAAAAAUAUGAUAGCUAUGUGUUAUGGACUGAAUGUUUGUGUCCUCCCAAAAUUCCUAUGUUGAAAUCCUAAUUGUUUAUCCUAUGAAGAGAGAGGCCUCUGGGAGGUGAUUAGCUCUUGAGGGUGGAGCCCUCACAAAUGGGAUUAGUGUCGUUAUAACCGGCCCCCAGAGCUCUCGCUAGCCCUCUUUCUAGCAUGUGAGGAUACAAUGAGAAGGCUGCAGUCUGCAACCUAGAAGCCGGCCUCAUCAGAAUCCAACCACGCAGGCACCAUGAUCUCAGACUUGCAGACUCCAGAACCGUGACAAAUAAAUUUCUGCCAUUUAUAAGCCACUUAGUCUGUGAUACUUCAUUAUAGCUGCCCAAACUGACUCAGACAGUGUGUUAACAUAUACUAGGUUUAUUAUUAUUUGAAUGAACUAAUAAAUAUUUUAAACUCACAUUAAAAAAAAUGUCUUUGGAGUCCUGUAGUUUUAAGGGUAUAAAGAGCUCUGAGAUCAAAGUUUGAGAACAUUUAUUCAAACUAUUUUAUGCAUAAACCCACUUUUUCACUUCAGUAUGACAAAUAAAACUGGCAAGCAAUAGGAUAUA